GAACGUGAUCCAGGCUUCGGUCUGGUGAAAGUGGCAAACGGGUGAGUAACGCGUGGGAACCUGCCCAGAGGUAGGGAAUAACCGCGGGAAACUGCGGCUAAUACCCUAUGUGCCCUACGGGGCAAAGAUUUAUCGCCUUUGGAGGGGCCCGCGUCGGAUUAGGUAGUUGGUGAGGUAACGGCUCACCAAGCCUUCGAUCCGUAGCUGGUCUGAGAGGAUGAUCAGCCACACUGGGACUGAGAUACGGCCCAGACUCCUACGGGAGGCAGCAGUGGGGAAUAUUGGACAAUGGGGGCAACCCUGAUCCAGCAAUGCCGCGUGAGUGAUGAAGGCCUUCGGGUUGUAAAGCUCUUUCGGCGGGGAAGAUGAUGACGGUACCCGCAGAAGAAGCCCCGGCUAACUUCGUG
RNAcentral lists this ribosomal RNA (407 nucleotides) under uncultured bacterium. Its description in RNAcentral is "bacterial SSU rRNA". It matches the Rfam family "Bacterial small subunit ribosomal RNA", at positions 64 to 507 of the family's 1533-position model. The record is from RNAcentral.